Molecule: long non-coding RNA, 388 nt
Organism: Zingiber officinale
Lineage: Eukaryota; Viridiplantae; Streptophyta; Magnoliopsida; Zingiberales; Zingiberaceae
Exons: 3
Source: RefSeq, a predicted model, not a curated record
AGGUACCCAUGGGGCUCUCGGCAGCCAUGCUUCUGAUAGUGCCAUAGAGUUGCCGUCGGGUCGCCUCUUUCUGAUCUAGCUCUAGAUCACUGUGUGUUGGCAUCUCCGGUGUCCUAGCAUCGGCACAAUUCAAGCAUGUGAAAUUGGUGUCGGCAACAUAGUUCUGGUCGUAACUUCUUGUAGGGCUAGUUACCUUACUCCAACAGUAGAUUUGCUCCAACAGGGAGCUAUAGGCUGAGGCAACACUUCUCCGGCUAAAUCAAAAGAGUUGUGUGAUGUGGAUCAACUAUCAAGGUUGUGAGGAAGGAAGUUGGAUGUUUGUUUUGGGUUUUUGAGUUGAGACAAGAGCUCUGAUUUGAGGGCAUACAACACGAUCUACAUUGGAGGC